UGCGAUAAAGGCAAACUCCGCGAAAGCUGGGGACGCAAAGCCACGGGUCUUAGCAUGAUUGGGUGAAGACAGCCGGGUUACCGAAA
Molecule: non-coding RNA, 86 nt
Filed under: Desulfosporosinus orientis
Lineage: Bacteria; Bacillati; Bacillota; Clostridia; Eubacteriales; Desulfitobacteriaceae
Also listed under: 1 other name
Description: c-di-GMP sequence
Rfam family: c-di-GMP-I-GGC riboswitch aptamer
Source: RNAcentral